GAGACGACGGUCAGCUCAUUCUUUGUGAUUUUUAGUCGAAUUCAAAAUGUAGUAGGAUACAAUUUUUUAGCUGACGGUCCCGCCGAAGGAUUUUACGUAUACUUAUAGGCAAGUUCUAAGUAAAAAUAUAUAUUUAAGCAAGUGUUGGAAGAAUUAUCUGGCCAGUCUGGAGAAGGGGACUGCACUUUAAAAUAUUAAACAGCCAUUAUGCGGAGAUGAAGCACAUUCAAAAUAACUUUUCAGCUAUUAAUGCUGUAUUAUUGCCCAACUGGAUUAGAUUUAUGGGGUUUAAGUCGAGCUUGAAUUGGUUGUUGUCUUAAUCAAAGAACAAAUUGACUUGAAAUGCUUAGCUCUUAUAAUUAUUUCCUACAACUUCUUAGAUUUUGCAUAGAUAUAUUCAUUAUCUAUAUGCAAAGGUAUCUUGCAUUUAUGCAAAUAAUUUCUUUAUUUAUCACUGAAAAACUAAAACUAAUAUUGUUUUUGAUCGUCGCGUCUUGUAUUCUAUUGGUAUUGGUUUUACCGCUUAGUAACUUACAGUGCGAAUUUUCUUCAAUACCGAAACUUCUUUCUGGUAAAUCUAAUAAAUUUCUAUAAAUAUUUUAGCAAUAGCUCGCGCAUAGUCUAUCCAAUUGUUUUGGUAAUUCAGAGGCUUGUAGUGAGAGUUUUAAAACUUUGUAGCAAUACGAAGCGCAAUGUUUUUUCUUUUAUUAUUUCUUCAUAUUUAUAAUAUUUUAAAUACUCGUUUAUAGCAGUAUGUUGCACACUCAGAUUUUCGAUUUCCUUGAAAGAAAUUGGUAAUGUAUUGUCUUAAUAAUGCAUUU
Drosophila montana is the source of this 821-nucleotide long non-coding RNA. RefSeq lists it as uncharacterized. The transcript has 3 exons. The record is from RefSeq and is a predicted model, not a curated record. NCBI's taxonomy places the organism in Eukaryota, Metazoa, Arthropoda, Insecta, Diptera, Drosophilidae.